GACGAACGCUGGCGGCGUGCUUAACACAUGCAAGUCGAACGCUGAAGCUCAGCUUUUGUUGGGUGGAUGAGUGGCGAACGGGUGAGCAACACGUGAGUAACCUGCCCCCUUCUUUGGGAUAACGCCCGGAAACGGGUGCUAAUACUGGAUAUUCACUGGUCUUCGCAUGGGGGUUGGUGGAAAGGGUUUUUCUGGUGGGGGAUGGGCUCGCGGCCUAUCAGCUUGUUGGUGGGGUGAUGGCCUACCAAGGCUUUGACGGGUAGCCGGCCUGAGAGGGUGACCGGUCACAUUGGGACUGAGAUACGGCCCAGACUCCUACGGGAGGCAGCAGUGGGGAAGAUGGCACAAUGGGCGCAAGCCUGAUGCAGCGACGCCGCGUGAGGGAUGGAGGCCUUCGGGUUGUGAACCUCUUUCGCUCAUGGUCAAGCCGCAACAAUGGUUGUGGUGAGGGUAGUGGGUAAAGAAGCGCCGGCUAACUACGUG
RNAcentral lists this ribosomal RNA (483 nucleotides) under uncultured bacterium. RNAcentral describes it as "partial 16S ribosomal RNA". It matches the Rfam family "Bacterial small subunit ribosomal RNA", at positions 28 to 507 of the family's 1533-position model. The record is from RNAcentral.